RNAcentral lists this transfer RNA (75 nucleotides) under Proteus mirabilis. Its description in RNAcentral is "tRNA-Arg". It matches the Rfam family "tRNA". Rfam says of the family: Transfer RNA (tRNA) molecules are approximately 80 nucleotides in length. Their secondary structure includes four short double-helical elements and three loops (D, anti-codon, and T loops). Lineage: Bacteria; Pseudomonadati; Pseudomonadota; Gammaproteobacteria; Enterobacterales; Morganellaceae. The record is from RNAcentral.
UCCAGAAUAGCUCAGUGGUAGAGCAUUCGGCUUCGGACCGAAAGGGCGCAGGUUCAACUCCUGCUUCUGGAACCC